UUUAGAAAAAUCUUAAAUUCAGUAUGUAAUAAAAUAAAAUAAAAUAAUUCUGGCAAGAAUAUUGAAUCAUAAAAGUGAAAGGAAAAGAGCCAUAAUGUAUGGAUACAAAAGAUGCUUAGGAAUAAAUUAUUCCAUUACCCCCACCCUCAAACUUUAUCUUUUUUCCUAAUUACUUUUAUGUUUAUUCCAACGGAUGGAAACUAUGAGUGUACAUGAAUCAGUCGAGCUUUAACAAGAUAUGGUAACAAUAUAGAACAAAAGUCCUAUAUGUAUAAAUAACAAUAAAAAUUCAAGUUGAAUUGGAUCAACUCAAACAUAAAGCAAUCUAACUAUCAAACCAACUCAAAGUUGAGGCCAAACUGUUGGGUUUGAUAGUUAGCAUUAUUUAGAUGGUCAACCACCCCGAUGCAAACAUCUAUAUGUUCUUCCAUUUGACAAGUCCGUCAAAAUUUUAGAUUAUAUCUAACUUUGAUUAAGCAUAACACAUCACUGACAACCAAACACAAAACAUGAGAAUUUCAAGCAACCAUAAAACUUACAAGUCUUACAUCUUUCUGAAGACUUCCCAAAGCCAAGGGAGACUGCUUUUUUGGAUGUUCCUUCUCUUUCUUCUAUCAACACAAAAGAAAGCAUCUAUAAACUUUCAACCCACUACUUAAUUCAAAAGCUCAAACAGCUAAUUUAUAUAUUAAAUCUUAUUGUAUAUUUAUUAUUCUACAAACGUUUAUUAAACAAGUACACAUCUCAGACAUAUUGUCAUGAAAUCCAUGAAAAAACUCGAAAUCAGAAUCAUCAACAAUGCACCAUAAUAAUAAGAGGCAAAAUGAGCUUCCGAGCUGACCAUUUAUGCCUUAGGAGUUGAUGGAACUGGACCGCACAACUCAGAUACCAACUGUAUCAGCCUAUCUUUUUCAGCACCGACGAUCUUGUGAGAGCUAACUUCCACCUCAUCUCUCACGAAAGCAAAGGUCGGCAUUGCUUCAACGUCGAACCUCGCAGCAAUUGCCUGCAAAGACAAAGGGGCCAUUGUUUGAGAGAGAGAGAAAAGAUCAAAUCAACAAACCAGUUCCAUUCCACUGUAUCAAGAGGGCAUAAUACGAUAGUUUGGGAAAAGUUGAAAAUGGGAUAAAUUUCUUUACUUGAACUUCAUCAACGUCCACUUUCAGGAAAAUGGCAUGGUGGUUCUUCUUAGCCAAGUCUGCGAAUAUUGGAGCUAUGAAGCGGCAUGGUGGACACCAAGAAGCAGUAAAAUCCACCACAAUCUACCAAACAAAAUUCUAGAAACAUCAGCAGGAACAACAGAGCUGAAACUAUCUAUAACAAGGUGAAGUAUUCCAAAGACUUGUUCUAAAAAGACAGGAAACGAGUAACAGAGAAAAAUUGAAGAGAACGAUAAAUCAAAACAUUCGACUAUUCGUCCUAUUAGCAAUUUCAACACUCCAAAUGGAAUAUAUAACUAGUCAAACUUGAAGAACUUAAACGAAUAACUAGACACAAUCAAACAUAGAUAUCAUAAACCCCUAACGACGAAUCAAUCGCGAGUUUUCCCAAAUUACCGAACAGAAGAAACUCUAACAAUAACCAAAAAUGCAACAGAAAUUGUUAAGAUAUGAAAGAUGUUCCAAUAUACCUAAGCAUCAAAUCCAAAAUUCCACCGAAAUCACAUACGAAAAUGUAUCGAACGGAAGUAGAAAGGGAGAGUGCGAAAAUCAUACCACUUUACUCAUUUCCUUUCCUAUGCGUACUUGCGCGUCGAAUUCCUCAACGCUGUGAAUUGCAAUCACUUCCCCUUCUUUAGCCAUUGAUUCUAACAAGAAUCUGUGUCCUUCUGCAAAAGUUUACGCUGCGUUUGAAAAGGAAUCGAUAAAGAGAGACGAGGAGGGGGGAGGAUUUAUGUAGACCAAUCAAAGAGGAAUACACUUGGGGUGGCCGUGUGGACAGAAUUGUCUAUACGUGAGAGCAUACGGCAAAAAUGUGAAUGCAAAUUAUUUAAGUUUUUUUUUGGGUAAAAAUUAAUUUAAAUAUACUUGAAUAAUUAUUAAACAUUCUAAUUUAUUUCAAAAUAACUUGUUUUUUCUAAAAUUAAAUAUUUAAAAAUAUAUUUCAAACAUGUUUUAAUACAGUUUAAACUAUAUGUUAUUUUCAAAUACACCAAAAUAAAAAUAUAAUAAAGUAUCAUUGUUAAUGUCCUAAUAGAUAUAUCUUAUUCUAUUACAAUAUAUCACAAAUAGUUUGUGAUAUUUUAAUAUAUCUAUAAAUAUUUUUCAAAGUCUUAUCAUUUAAAAUAGUAAUAAGAUCGUUAAAUUUAGUAUUAUUAAAAUCACUUUACUAAAAAUAUAAAAUAAAACACAAUCAUGGAAUUCAAAUCUGAAGAUUUUUCUAUAAGGACAAAUGUAAUGAUAGACAUGAAAAAUAGGCAGAAUUAUCAUAGUUUAUUAGCCGUUAUCAACAAUUUUAAAUGAUAUUUUACCAUAUUUAUAAAUAUAUUAGUCAUUUACUAAAAUUACAUUUAACUUCACACAGUAAUUAACAUUGAAAGUGUUUGAUUUCUUUUGUCCAUUUUCUUAGAAAUUUUCAAUAAAAAAAAAAAGAAAAAACUAAAUUUUAUAGGCCACUAGUAGAUAUAUUCUUGGGAUGAGGUUUUCAUUUAUUGAUGUCAAAUGGGAAUAUCUAUUAAAUAAUAAUUUUAAAACAAAACUAAUAUUUAAAUGCCACUAAUUAUAUCCAUUGCACCUCUUGCUUUUAAACAAUAAUUGAAGAUUGGAAGAUGGAAUAUUCUAUUUCAUUUGUGCAUUUUAAUUUAUUUUGGUCAAUAUAUUUUUAAAUAUUUAUUUUGAUUGUUAUAUUUUUAUGUUGAGUUAGUUUAAUCAAUAUAUUUUGAAAGUGUAAAUUUUGGAUAUUGUAUUUUUAAUUUUAGUUUAUUUUGAUCUUCGAUUUGAAAGAAAAAAUUUGUCUUAUAAAAUGAAGGUAAUUGUUUUGCAUGCAAAGUAAUCAUUAUUAUACAAGCAAGUUUAGAAGAACAUUAAUCAAUAGUUUUCCUUUCAAAGAACUUCCAAGUGCUUUCCUACCUGCUUUUUAGAUUUUAAAGCUACUUUUAUUUGUUCACUAAAGUCUUUUUUUCUCAAGAAAAAAUAACACUUUUAUCACUAUAAAAGCAAUCGAUAAUGAUUUUUAAAAAAACUUUUUAAAAGCGCUUUUUAUAAAAUUAUUUUUAAGCCCCUUGGAAAAUCAAUCUAAAUAUGCUAUAAGAGCAUCCUAUAGAGAAGUUUUUUGACUUUUUCUAAUAACAAUAAGUUUGCAAAAGUGCUUUAAAAAGCAAGAACAAAUACCUUCAAUAUUUAUAGAAUAAAAGAGCAUCAAUCUAUAUUAGAGCAUUUGGGACAGCAAAUAAAUGAAUCAAAAUUUACUCCAUGGAUCAUAAUCAGUCCAUAAUAUUAAAGAUAUAAUCUAAUACAACUUUAGGAACCUGAAAGGUGACAAGCUAAUCAAAAGUCUGAAGAAAAUAACGAACCAUAAUAUGAUAAAACAUGGUAAUGAAAUAAUAACUUGGUACUUUUGAAUAACAAUUUUUUUACUACAUAAGAAGUUCUUAAUUGGAUAACUAAUGAACUAUUAUGGACAUUCCUAUAGCUAAGGCCACAUCAAAUUUUUAUCAUUUUUUAAUAUACGUUCAACAUCUUUUAGACAAAUCUUAAAUUCAAUAGGUAAUAAAAUAAAUAGAAAAUAAAAACUUCUUGCAAGAAUAUUGAAUCGUAAAAGUGAAAGGAAAAGAGCUAUAAUGUAUGGAUACAAAAGAUGCUUAGGAAUAAUUUAUUCCAUUACCCCACCAUCAAACUUUAUCUUUUUUUCUAAUUACUUUUAUCUUUAUUCCAAGAGAACGGAAAGUACGGGUGUACAUGGUAACAAUAUAGAACAAAAGUCAUACAUGUAUAAAUAAUAAUAGAAAUUCAAGAUGAAUUGGAUCAACUCAAAACAUAAAGCAAUUUAACUAAAAAACACAUAAAAUUCAAGUCAAACUAACUCAAAAGUGUAACUCUAAUGCAACCCAAACUGUUGGGUUGGGUAGUCAGCAGUGUUUAGAUGGUCCAUCGGACCACCUUGAUGCAGACGCCUAUUUGCGCUUUUCCUCCUCUCUCUCAUCCUAUUUUCUCAUACCGAAGGACCCCUAAAUCUUGACCAGAAAACGACUAGUCCUCCAAAAUUUUAGAUCUAAUCUAACCUGAUUAAGCAUAACACAUCACGUACGAUCAAACACAAAACAUGAGAAUUUCAGGCAACCAUAAAUCUUACAAGUCUUACAUCUUUCCGAAGACUUCCCAAAGCCAAGGGUAAGAAGAGAAAGAAAAGCAAAAGUAGAGUGUUUUUUUAGAUGUUCUUUCUCUUUCUUCUAUCAACACAAAAGAAAGCAUCUGUAAACUUUCAACCCACCACUUAACUCAAAAGCUCAAACAGCAAAUUUAUAUAUUAAAUCUUAUUAUACAUUUAUUAUUCUACAAACGUUCAUUAAACAAGUACACAUCUCAGACAUAUUGUCAUGAAAUCCAUGAAAAAACUCGAAAUUAGAAUCAUCAACAAUGCACCAUAUUAAUAAGAGGCAGAAUGAGCUUCCAAGCUGACCAUUUAUGCAGUAGAAGUUGAUGGAACUGGACCGCACAACUCAAUUACCUUGUCCAUCAGCCCAUUCUUGUCAGCACCGACGAUCCUGUGAGAGCUAACUUCCACCUCAUCUCUCACGAAAGCAAAGGUCGGCAUUGCAUCAACGUUGAACCUCGCAGCAAUUGCCUGCAAAGAAACAGGAGCCAUUGUUUGAGAGAGAGAGAGAGAAAGAAAAUAUCAAAUCAACAGACCAGUUCCAUUCCACUGUAUCAAGAGAGCAUAAUACGAUAGUUUGGGAAAAGUUGAAAAGGGGAUAAAUUUCUUUACUUGAACUUCAUCAACGUCCACUUUCAGGAAAAUGGCAUGGGGAUUCUUCUUAGCCAACUCUGCGAAUAUUGGAGCUAUGAAGCGGCAUGGUGGACACCAAGAAGCAGUAAAAUCCACCACA
RNAcentral lists this long non-coding RNA (5044 nucleotides) under Cucumis sativus (cucumber). RNAcentral describes it as "long non-coding RNA (CSAT_LNC000729)". The record is from RNAcentral. Lineage: Eukaryota; Viridiplantae; Streptophyta; Magnoliopsida; Cucurbitales; Cucurbitaceae.